GUGUUAGUGUCUGUUAGUGUGUGUGUAUGUUAGUGUGUGUGUGUGUCUGUUAGUGUGUGUGUGAGUCUGUUACAGACACACACACUAACAUACACACACUAACAUACACACACACUAACAGACAC
This is a non-coding RNA of Pelobates cultripes (western spadefoot toad), 125 nucleotides long. NCBI's taxonomy places the organism in Eukaryota, Metazoa, Chordata, Amphibia, Anura, Pelobatidae. The record is from the annotation of a GenBank genome assembly.